Molecule: ribosomal RNA, 460 nt
Filed under: uncultured bacterium
Lineage: Bacteria
Description: partial 16S ribosomal RNA
Rfam family: Bacterial small subunit ribosomal RNA
Source: RNAcentral
CCUACGGGAGGCAGCAGUGAGGAAUAUUGGUCAAUGGGCUUACGCCUGAACCAGCCAAGUCGCGUGAGGGAAGACUGCCCUAUGGGUUGUAAACCUCUUUUGUCAGGGAGCAAUUGGCGCUACGUGUAGCGUUAUCGAGAGUACCUGAAGAAAAAGCACCGGCUAACUCCGUGCCAGCAGCCGCGGUAAUACGGAGGAUGCGAGCGUUAUCCGGAUUGAUUGGGUUUAAAGGGUGCGUAGGCGGAAUGCCAAGUCAGCGGUAAAAUCGCGGGGCUCAACCUCGCUCCGCCGUUGAAACUGGCGUUCUUGAGUGGGCGAGAAGUAUGCGGAAUGCGUGGUGUAGCGGUGAAAAGCAUAGAUAUCACGCAGAACUCCGAUUGCGAAGGCAGAAUACCGGCGCCCAACUGACGCUGAAGCACGAAAGCGUGGGUAUCGAACAGGAUUAGAUACCCUUGUAGUC